This 465-nucleotide ribosomal RNA is filed under the name Vreelandella stevensii. RNAcentral's name for it is "partial 16S ribosomal RNA". It matches the Rfam family "Bacterial small subunit ribosomal RNA", at positions 338 to 795 of the family's 1533-position model. Lineage: Bacteria; Pseudomonadati; Pseudomonadota; Gammaproteobacteria; Oceanospirillales; Halomonadaceae. The record is from RNAcentral.
CCUACGGGAGGCUGCAGUGGGGAAUAUUGGACAAUGGGCGAAAGCCUGAUCCAGCCAUGCCGCGUGUGUGAAGAAGGCCUUCGGGUUGUAAAGCACUUUCAGUGGGGAAGAAAGCCUUGGGGCUAAUACCCUCGAGGAAGGACAUCACCCACAGAAGAAGCACCGGCUAACUCCGUGCCAGCAGCCGCGGUAAUACGGAGGGUGCGAGCGUUAAUCGGAAUUACUGGGCGUAAAGCGCGCGUAGGCGGUCUGAUAAGCCGGUUGUGAAAGCCCCGGGCUCAACCUGGGAACGGCAUCCGGAACUGUCAGGCUAGAGUGCAGGAGAGGAAGGUAGAAUUCCCGGUGUAGCGGUGAAAUGCGUAGAGAUCGGGAGGAAUACCAGUGGCGAAGGCGGCCUUCUGGACUGACACUGACGCUGAGGUGCGAAAGCGUGGGUAGCAAACAGGAUUAGAUCCCCUUGUAGUC